This 1485-nucleotide ribosomal RNA is filed under the name Triticum aestivum (bread wheat). RNAcentral describes it as "partial small subunit ribosomal RNA". Lineage: Eukaryota; Viridiplantae; Streptophyta; Magnoliopsida; Poales; Poaceae. The record is from RNAcentral.
AUGGAGGUAUCCACCUUACCCUGCUUGCUACUUGUGUCAACUGCACUGGCACUCUGUCGUGCAGCUGCAGCACGGCCUGAAAGUGCAACAACAAACCUUGAUGCAGCCACAAUGGCCGCGCAAGAGCGUGACCGUGUCGCGUCGCUGCCGGGGGCGCCGAGCUACCCAUAUGCGUUCAAGCACUACUCCGGGUACGUCACGACCGAUGAGCGCCUCGGCAAGGCACUGUUCUGUUGGUUCUUCGAGGCUAUGGAGAAGCCUGACGAGAAGCCACUGGUCCUAUGGUUAAAUGGAGGACCUGGCUGUUCUUCCGUUGGGUUUGGGCAGGCGCAGGAGCUCGGGCCAUUUCUUGUGAAGAAAGAUGUGCCUGAACUUGAGCUCAAUCCGUAUGCCUGGAACCAAGGCAACUGCCAACUUGCUGUUCCUGGACUCUCCAGCGGUGUUGGAUUUUCGUACACGAACACGUCUUUCAAAAUAGAUCCACCGGGAGACAAUUCCACGGCACACGGUUCAUACGCUUUCCUCGUCAGGUGGUUUCAGAGGUUCCCCCAGCACAAAAUGAAAGAGUUCUACAUAGCAGGAGAGAGCUAUGCAGGACAUUACGUUCCCCAACUUGCCAAUCUCAUCGUGGACGAGAACAAGAAAGCCUCCAACGAAAACUACAUAAACUUGAAAGGCAUCCUGGCUAAUAACUUAACUAAACAAAAUGAAUUGCAGAUCGGGAACGCGUACAUGGACGGGGACACGGAUCUGCAGGGGAUCGUCGACUCGUCGUGGCACCACGCCAUCAUCUCGGACACGCUCUACGAAACCUACCUGAGGUCCUGCAACUUCAGCGCGGAGAUCCUGUCUCGCGAGUGCGAGGUGGCCCUGGGCGAGUUCAGCGUCCUCAACAACCUCAUCGACAUCUACAGCCUCUACGCCCCCAACUGCGAGCGCGGGUACCCGGACUUCAACACCUCCUCCUCGCCGCAGAUCGGACCGACCACCAGCCGUUUUGAUCUUCUCAGGAUACCGAUGGGCUACGACCCGUGCACGCAGACGUACGCCACCGAGUAUCUGAACCGGGAGGACGUGCAGAGGGCUCUGCACGCCAACACCACGGGCGUGCCCUACCCCUACUCUCUCUGCCGCGACUCUAUCAACGUCUUGUGGCACGAUUCUGACAAGACCGUGCUUCCGAUCGUCAGGAAGCUCGCGCAGGAGGGGCUCCGCAUAUGGAUCUUCAGCGGCGACACGGACGGAAGGAUCCCUACGACGUCGACGAGGUACACGCUGAAGAAGCUCGGCCUGCCCAUCAAGGAGGACUGGUCGCCAUGGUUCACUCACAAGCAGGUUGGUGGAUGGAGUGUGGUGUAUGAUGGCCUGACAUUUGUCACGGUGAGAGGAGCCGGACACAUGGUGCCAACCUCGCGGCCCGAGCAGGCGCUUCAGCUCUUCGAGCACUUCCUCGCCAACCACAACCUCCCCUCCAAGCCCUUCUAG